GUACACUCCUACGGGAGGCAGCAGUGGGGAAUAUUGGACAAUGGGCGCAAGCCUGAUCCAGCCAUGCCGCGUGAGUGAUGAAGGCCCUAGGGUUGUAAAGCUCUUUCACCGGUGAAGAUAAUGACGGUAACCGGAGAAGAAGCCCCGGCUAACUUCGUGCCAGCAGCCGCGGUAAUACGAAGGGGGCUAGCGUUGUUCGGAUUUACUGGGCGUAAAGCGCACGUAGGCGGACUAUUAAGUCAGGGGUGAAAUCCCGGGGCUCAACCCCGGAACUGCCUUUGAUACUGGUAGUCUUGAGUUCGAGAGAGGUGAGUGGAAUUCCGAGUGUAGAGGUGAAAUUCGUAGAUAUUCGGAGGAACACCAGUGGCGAAGGCGGCUCACUGGCUCGAUACUGACGCUGAGGUGCGAAAGCGUGGGGAGCAAACAGGAUUAGAAACCCGGGUAGUCCCA
RNAcentral lists this ribosomal RNA (450 nucleotides) under uncultured organism. RNAcentral describes it as "partial 16S ribosomal RNA". It matches the Rfam family "Bacterial small subunit ribosomal RNA", at positions 331 to 797 of the family's 1533-position model. The record is from RNAcentral.